Gadus macrocephalus (Pacific cod) is the source of this 1498-nucleotide long non-coding RNA. RefSeq lists it as uncharacterized. NCBI's taxonomy places the organism in Eukaryota, Metazoa, Chordata, Actinopteri, Gadiformes, Gadidae. The record is from RefSeq and is a predicted model, not a curated record. The transcript is spliced from 2 exons.
GCAAAGACCAAAGGGCUUCUGGACGCAAUUGGAUGGACCUACAACCAAUCAGAGCAAGGGAAAUGUGUGACACAUCAGUGUUAACCAUCUUGUUCGGAAUUUUGGACAUAGGGCCUGAUUCCCAAGUGAGCAUUGGUAUUCUAUAUCACUGGAGACAGUUUUCAACACAUUUCAUACAGUCCUUCUAGUUGCAGAGUUUGCUCGUGCUAGGCUAGCGCAAGUCAACGGGCAAUGCUAGCCUGCUAUUAAAAACAGUCUUACCCACUCCACAGUACACCCGAGGUAAAUCAAUUAUAACGCCAGACUAUAAAUCUAAAUGUCUGUUUAUAGAAUAAUGUUAGAAAUAAAACCAACCUUGCAUUGCAUUGCAUUUUGAGGGAAUUGCGGGGUCUCAGCAGCAGUGUUUAUAUUCCUGUACGUAGGCUACGGCAGCGGCGGACUGAUACCUAGGUUACCUGCCGCUGUCAUUGCUACAAACGCAGAGUACAGUGAACGAAGGAAUUCUAUAAGCGUAUUCAAUUAACAAGAUAUGCCCACGUUUGGAGGAGUUUGCGAUGCAUCUGCUUUUGAAGACGAUUAUGAGGAAUUUGUUGUAUCCAACGAACCGUACAUGUACGAGCCGGUGUUUUGAUGUCCAAGCCAGCAGCAACAAGCCACAGUUGAGUCCUUUCUGGAUCUCGCACUGGAAAUUGGUGGAAACUUUGUGGUGCCCAUCUGUACCGUUUAUUUCUACAAUUUCUAAAAGCACACUGAACCAUCAUGUUGCCUAGUCGUUCAAUUGCGCUUCUGUCCCACGCUUCUCUGUUUACGUUCUUCUGUCGUGAUUCGGUUACAAACCUAACCAGCGCAUAGUAAAAUUCCGCUUCUGCUGAGAAAGUAGUCCCUCGAUGAUUCAUGCGAUGCAAGGUUAGUUUUAUUUCUAACAUUAUUCUAUCAACACAGACAUUUAAAUCUAUAGUCUGGCGUUAUAAUUGAUUUACCUCGGGUGUACUGUGGAGUGGGUAAGACUGUUUUUAAUAGCAGGCUAGCAUUGCCCGUUGACUUGCGCUAGCCUAGCACGAGCAAACUCUGCAACUAGAAGGACUGUAUGAAAUGUGUUGAAAACUGUCUCCAGUGAUAUAGAAUACCAAUGCUCACUUGGGAAUCAGGCCCUAUGUCCAAAAUUCCGAACUACCCCUUUAAACUUUUGGCUUCCAUGUGACUUCAUGCUGGUCUCUAAUUGGUCACUUCAAGAUUCUCCUCCGGGCGCAGCUCUCUGCGCCCCUGGCCAAUCAGCGUGCUUGGGCUCAUUUUUCAUCCAGUCUGAUUGAUUCAUGAUACCUAUCAGUCAAAGUCACUCCCCUGGCAACAGAGCCGUGCCUGUCACUCAAAGAGCGACAGACACGCCCACGCGCACACGGAGCAGACAGAAAAAAACAACAACGAGAAGACAGGAGGAGACAUGGCGACAGCAAACGAAAAUUCGGUUGUUUCGUUACGCAGUAAUCCUUUCUCGAGG